This 2741-nucleotide long non-coding RNA is filed under the name Olea europaea (common olive). Its description in RNAcentral is "long non-coding RNA (OEUR_LNC001943)". Lineage: Eukaryota; Viridiplantae; Streptophyta; Magnoliopsida; Lamiales; Oleaceae. The record is from RNAcentral.
AUUGCAAUGUGAUAAAGUUCGUUCACCGGCUAAGCAGUUGCCAAAAAAGCGGAGAGCUGUUCGCCUUUGUGAUGAAGAUGAUGAUUGUGAAUUGCCAAAAACUCCACUUCAUGGAGGAUUUGCCAAUAAGGUUUCUGUUCUUCCACCUGUGCAAGAUUCUACAAGGAAAACUUCUUUGCAUGGUAAGAAUUUUGUCCAAGAACAAAUAGGCUUGACCACAUCUGACACAGCUGAGGGUGGCUCAAAGGAACAUGUAUUACCUACUCUAACAUCCAAUAAAGCUUCAUUAGCAACUGCUAAGCAGGGCAUGGCAAAGAGUAGUGAAAUUUCAGCUGCACAGUUAUCUUCUAGUCCUGAACAGUUAUAUUCUGGGAAGUUAUCAACCCAUUUUGGCCAUUUUACGAGAGAAUGAGCACUUGCAUUUCUGGAAAGCUUGGAUAGUCGGCAUACGAAGAAUUGAGCAAAACUUUUUGCACACGGUGUCCAUUUUGGGCCCAUAAGUACCUUUUGAAAAUGUAGCGACCGUUUUGGAUUGAACUCACAACUUCAUCGUGACGUUCGAAGGACAGCUUUUGGAACAAUAUUUGCAUCAGAGCUCGCUGGAGUCGAGUUCUUCAUAACAAGAUAUCACAAUCCUAAUUAUACACCUUAUCUUAAACAGAAAUAUAGAAAGUGGAUUCGAUUUUAUUUCUUUCAAUAUUUAGUAACCAUUAAGUUGGAUUUUUUUUUUUUAGUGUAAGAUUAUUUUUGCAUAUAAAUGAGACUACUAUUGUUGAAUAAUUCAUUCCUUGAUUAUGAUGUUUAGAUGUAUUAGAAUUCUUCUCUAAUUCUUUGCUCAGUUCUUCUAUUCUUUCCUCAGUUCUUCUAUUCUUUCCUUCUAUCUUAUUCUCUUUGAUCAUUCCACAUCAGGUCAAAAGGUUGAAAUGUAUGUUGAUAAGGUUUGGAAAUUCUUAUUUGGUACGGUUGUUUCUGGUAGAAAUUUAGAAAUUUGAUAUGUUUCUAUUUUCUUGCAAAUAUGUAAUGACUUGUGGUUUACUUGUUUGGUAAACCAUAUAUGAUUAUACGACAUUGACAGAGAUAUGAAAGUGCAUUGUAGCUGAGAAUUUGAUUGCGAACCUUGGAAAUGAUCCGUUUUGUCUAGAAAUUAUUUCCUUAUUUUCUUGGUAUUAUUGUUUGUGCACUUCAAUAUGUCUUCUUAUAUUGUUGACAUAGUUUCUGGUACAAAUUCAAAGAGGGUUUUGUGUGGUAAGUUCGAAGUUUCCCUUUUUGCAACAGAGCUUUUGUUGCACCUGCAGAUAUUCAGGCAUUCACCCGUGAGGCAAAAGAUAAAGUGUCUGCUCGAUGCCAGGGUAAAACAGUUAAAAUUUUCGCCCAAGCAGUGAAGGAAAUCUGUGAAGAAUUUGAAGAAUUACAGCACAAAAAGUCUAGUGGUAUAAGAGAUGAUACCAAUAAACUAAUUCUUGGGUCUGAGCUGCCUUCAGAUGAUAAAGUGGCAGAUAAUACCUUGGAGGUUAAUCUAAAAGAUAAUUUGAAAGGAUCAAAUAGCAAAAUGGAGACCAAAGGGCUGGAAAACCUGAGCUCUGAGCUAAAGCCCUGCUCACAGCAGAGACAAAAUGAGUCGGACUGUAAAGAUAUAAUGCUUGACAUUUCUAAUGAUGUAAGUCAUAGUUUGUCCCCAGUUACAUCUUCAAAAAAGAGGAAAAAGCCUUCUGCCGAUGGUAUUAAUAUUGUGAAGGAGUCAGGACCGACAUCUAGCUGUCAUUCCAUACUGAAAGAGGAAGGUUCUUGUGAUUACAAGUUAAGGAAGAGACAUCAUAAUAUGAUCCAGACUGAAUUGAAAAAUGAUCACAAACCAAAGCUAGCAGUGGGUUCAAAGAGGAAACCUGAGGGUGCAAAUGUAGUGCUUAGAGGUUCGGCAGUUUCAGCAGCACGUAAUGACUCUGUUUAUCAUGUUGAUUUAUCUUUUGAGAAACCUGAAGGUGAGACGCAAAAACAAAAUUCUUCAGGAAACAUGGACUCAUCUAUAGAUAAUUUGAGGUCUAGUUUAGAUGUUGAUAGUGUAAGGGCAGAAAAUAAAUUGCUGAAAGACAAAACGUAUUUUGAGGCUUCAGAUGAUUUUCAAACAAAUAUCAAAGUCAAUUGUGAGGAGAAAAAUGAGUUUUCCCAGGGGAAUAUGAGGCGUGGCUGUGAAAAUCAAGCCUUUCAGAGAAAUGAAGUCUCCUAUCCCUACAAAAGAUCAAAAUGUUCAGCUACUGCAGAUGAUGCAACCAUGAUAGAAGUCCAAACAAGCAGAAAAAAUGAUUCUAAAAGUCCUAAUGUUCUUGAUGACAUCGAUAAUACAGAGGUUAAAAGAACACCAGGAGUGAAGGCUGAGAAUGGCUUCUUCAGAGUGCAGACAAUUUCUAAUGAGCCCAAUGCUUCUGUAGAUGAAGAUGAUCUUCCCCCAACAAACUGUCGUCAACGUGCAUUGCAGGCUGAAAAUAGAUUGGGAGGUUCUGGUGCUCGUGAAAAAUAUUUAUUGCAAUGUGAUAAAGUUCGUUCACCGGCUAAGCAGUUGCCAAAAAAGCGGAGAGCUGUUCGCCUUUGUGAUGAAGAUGAUGAUUGUGAAUUGCCAAAAACUCCACUUCAUGGAGGAUUUGCCAAUAAGGUUUCUGUUCUUCCACCUGUGCAAGAUUCUACAAGGAAAACUUCUUUGCAUGGUAAGAAUUUUGUCCAAGAACAAAUAGGCUUGACCACAUCUG